Molecule: long non-coding RNA, 811 nt
Organism: Saccostrea cuccullata (small rock oyster)
Lineage: Eukaryota; Metazoa; Mollusca; Bivalvia; Ostreida; Ostreidae
Exons: 3
Source: RefSeq, a predicted model, not a curated record
AUUCCAUGUACACUCUACACCAACGUAAUUUGUGUAAAGUGUCAGGAAAAGUUUCAUGUACACUCUACAUCUAAAGGUGGUAUCAAGUAACAAAAUGGAAAGAAAAUAUCUAAUUUUUUUUUUAAUUUUCCCCCCUCACUGGUACCCUUCUCCUAUUUUAAUUGGUUCGUAAAUCAUCCUUGUUUCCCAGUGUCUUGAAAUACAAGAUCACGUGAUUUCUUUGUGCCCCAACAAGAUGCCUCUUCAAACGUACGAGACUUGGUAAGUUAAAAUCAAUUAGCACAAAGCAUUAUAACUGUAUUUUGAUUUUUAGAUCCGCUGAUUUUAUAUAUAAUGAUUUAUUAUCUUUUUGCAGUAAAUGAAAUUCUAACCGAAUAUUCCAAACGAAUGUAUACCUACCGCGAAAUGAGCAGUUUACUAAAAAAUAAGAUAUCAAAUUAAGCGAAAAUGCAAUUAGGAAAAGGCUUAAAAGACUGGGCGAGCCCAGAAGAAGAGGUCCAACUGCCCAUUUAGUUUCGGACGUGAAAAACAUUGUAAAGUCCACUUCGCAAGAUUAUCCAAAAACCGUUGGCUACCGAUUUUUAACUGGUGUUUUACAUCGCGAAGGAAUACAUGUCCGCAGAUAUUUAUUUCAUUAUUUUAAGUCUUAAAUACUAGAAAACAGACUACUUUAGAGUAUUUUGAAGAUAUUUGUUGAAAUUUUCAAUUUAAAAUUAAUUAUGUUGAAUGAAUAUCACUAUUGGGAUACAUAUUACUUCAUUUCAAUCUAUGAUGAACAAAAUGAUAACUACAGUGUAUAGAAAUCUUGUGG